AUGUAGUUUUCAGGGAAUGGCGCCUGCGCACAAGGCGGGGUCAUGCCGCCGCUUCCCGGGCCUUCAGGGUAGUGUAGUUUCGCGGGGCGGGGGGCGGCAGGGGGCCUUGAUUCCCCUUCGUGGAACCCCCCAGGCGCGGACCCCCGGCGCGGCCCUCCGAGUAGGCUCCGCCCGCGGGCCCGGAGGCUUUGAGGAUGUCUGCGGUGCUCCAGAAGCUCAAGAGGUUCAAGCUGCGGGCCCUGCACAACCAGAAGAAAUUUGGGGUGGCGGGCAGGAGCUGCGAGGAAGUGCUGCGGAAGGCGUGCCUCCACUUGCAGCUCCCCGUUCCUGGCUCCAGCCUGUGUCUCUACGAGGAUGGCACGGAGCUGACUGGAGAUUACUUCUGGAGUGUCCCCGACGACUCGGAGCUCGUGCUUCUCACUGCGGGGCAGACCUGGCGGGGUUACGCGAGUGACAUCAGCCGCUUCCUGAGCGUGUUCCAGGAGCCGCACGCAGAGCUCAUCCAGGCCGCCCGGCAGCUGCUCUCGGACGAGCGGGCCCCGCUGCGGCAGAAGCUCCUGGCCGACCUGCUGGGCACCGUCAGCGAGAACAUCGCGGCCGAGACCAGGGCCGAGGACGCACCGUGGUUCGAAGGUUUGGAGUCCCGGUUUAGGAACAAGUCUGGCUACCUGAGAUACAGCUGCGAGAGCCGGAUCCGGAGCUACCUGAGAGAGGUGACGUCUGGCGCCUCCCUGGUUGUCACGGAGGCUCGGGAGGAGUACCUGCGGGUCGUGGGCGCCAUGUGCCAGAAGCUCCAGGCCGCCCGCUACAACAGCAGCUACUUCGACAGGGGGGCGAAGGCCAGCCGCCGGCUCUGCACGCCUGAAGGCUGGUUCUCCUGCCAGGGUCCCUUUGACGUGGACGACUGUGCUUCCAGACACUCCAUCAACCCCUACAGUAACAGGGAGAGCCGCGUCCUCUUUAGCACCUGGAACCUGGACCACGUGACUGUGGUCUCAUAAGAAGAGAGGGCUCGCUGUCCACCAUGUGAGGACGCAGCGAGGGGGCAGCCGUCUGCGAGCCAGGAAGACACUUCUCAGCAGAACCCAACCACGCUGGCCCUCUGGUCUCAGAAUCCCAGCCUCCAGAAUGCUUGUGGGAUCUUAGUUCCCCGACCAGGGAUUGAACUCGCACCCUCAGCAGUGAAAGCGCCGAGUCCUAACCACUGGACCGCCAGGGAAGUCCCCCAUCUACCUGUAAAAUGUGAGAAGCCCGGGUGGCCGGCAUCAGGCUCUGCCAGGCUGGCUGGCCCGGCGGGCGUGGCCGCGUGCGGCGAUGGCACCCCCGCCAGCCUGUGGAGGGAUGUCCCCAGUGCUCGUUCGAUGGCCACAGGGUGAGCCCCUUUCAGCGCCCGCCCUGCUCUGUCUGGGACGGCCUGAGUGCAGUUCCUCUGCCGAGUUUAACCAUCUCCACCUGUCUCUCCUGGAAGCAGCCAAACCUUGAUGGAUGUCUCAGCCGAGUAGACACCACAUUCAACCAUCUCUGUGGUUUAACAGAAAACGAGGCCUGGCAGGUGCCUGGGGGAUUGUGACAGAUUGUGACAGCAGAGACGACGUCUCUAACCUUGCUUUGCAGAAUAGAAAAGAAGCGCACGGUCGUCCCCACGCUGGCCGCGGCCAUCCACGACGCCGAGGGGAGAGAAGUAGACUGGGAGUACUUC
Molecule: RNA transcript, 1699 nt
Organism: Balaenoptera ricei (Rice's whale)
Lineage: Eukaryota; Metazoa; Chordata; Mammalia; Artiodactyla; Balaenopteridae
Gene: DFFB
Gene name: DNA fragmentation factor subunit beta
Exons: 8
Source: RefSeq, a predicted model, not a curated record